UACGGAGGAUGUAAGCGUUAUCCGGAAUGAUUGGGCGUAAAGCGUCCGCAGGUGGCAAUGUAAGUCUGCUGUCAAAGCGUCUGGCUCAACCAGAUAAAGGCAGUGGAAACUACAUAGCUAGAGUAAGGUAGGGGUAGAGGGAAUUCCUGGUGUAGCGGUGAAAUGCGUAGAGAUCAGGAAGAACACCGGUGGCGAAAGCGCUCUGCUGGACCUUAACUGACACUGAGGGACGAAAGCUAGGGGAGCGAAUGGG
This 253-nucleotide ribosomal RNA is filed under the name uncultured bacterium. RNAcentral's name for it is "partial 16S ribosomal RNA". It matches the Rfam family "Bacterial small subunit ribosomal RNA", at positions 524 to 776 of the family's 1533-position model. The record is from RNAcentral.